Molecule: ribosomal RNA, 253 nt
Filed under: uncultured bacterium
Lineage: Bacteria
Description: partial 16S ribosomal RNA
Rfam family: Bacterial small subunit ribosomal RNA
Source: RNAcentral
UACGGAGGAUCCAAGCGUUAUCCGGAAUCAUUGGGUUUAAAGGGUCCGUAGGCGGUUUAGUAAGUCAGUGGUGAAAGCCCAUCGCUCAACGGUGGAACGGCCAUUGAUACUGUUGAACUUGAAUUAUUAGGAAGUAACUAGAAUAUGUAGUGUAGCGGUGAAAUGCUUAGAGAUUACAUGGAAUACCAAUUGCGAAGGCAGGUUACUACUAAUGGAUUGACGCUGAUGGACGAAAGCGUGGGUAGCGAACAGG